UUGGCUUCCUGAAGACCUCUUCAUCCUGCAGAAGGUGCAACUCCACAGCAUCCUGAGAGGUUGGACACAAGCUGCUGGGAGCACAAAGGAACCCUGCCUGCCAGGCUUGAGUGUCAGAAUCUGGGCUUUCACCUGCAGGGACCUCAGGCCUCCAUCAGCCAGGCUUGGAAAGAAUGAAUGGUGCCUCUCGGUGAAUUACUACAACCUGAAUCCUGUGACCCCACCUGUGAUGGCCCAAUGUUAUUGAAAUUACUGACUCCAUCCACUUAGCAAGUGGUAAAUACUCUGCAGGCAUAGAUUUGACUAAUGUGUUCUGUUCAGCGCCUAUUUCAACAGAUCUCAGCUGCAGGUUGCUUUCACCCCCGAAGGGACACAAUAGACCGUUAUCUGGCUACCACGGGGUACCUCGACAGUUCUGCCACCAUACACAAUCUUUGCAGGCAGGAUUUGAACUGCAUCUGACAUUCUCUAGGAGUACAGGUGUAACAUCACCCUGAAGACACCCUUCUUUCAGCAAAUUCAUUUGACACACUCAGGACAUUACUCACAAAGAACUCAUAGAAAAGGAUGGGGUUUGUGUUUCCACAUGGUGGGAUUAAACUAAAACAAAAAAGUAUGGGCCACUGCCCCAGGCAUAGUACAGGGAUCCACACCAAUUUCUGGCCAUUGUCUGGUCAGUUGAGGGAUGCUCCAUCCCU
This 698-nucleotide long non-coding RNA is filed under the name Homo sapiens (human). RNAcentral describes it as "long non-coding RNA NONHSAT077267.2". The record is from RNAcentral. Lineage: Eukaryota; Metazoa; Chordata; Mammalia; Primates; Hominidae.